CUUAAUCGUCGUCCUUUCAAAACACUGACAUACUGUAUAUUUAUAUUGUUCAGGAACAUCGCUGCAACUCUGGCGGAAUGGCGCUGAGACGAGCCGGAGUGUGAAGCGGACCGAGAGAAACAAUGUUCAGGAUUCAAUUCAUUUUAGAUGUCAGUAUAAAGUUCUCCCUUACAUUCACAACAUCUCUCGUGAACAUUGUCUCCCUCUCCCCGUGCCCCCGAGCUGGGUACAACAGGUGCUUAGGAUCAACACUCACUCACGUUACCAGCAAACAACUGUGUAUCGGUCCAGACCUCAUGAGUGAGACGGGAGGUAAAGGACUACUAGACUCGCUCGCCUUCCUCGCCCCGGCACUGAGCCAUUGAGCCUUACCAUGAUAUACAACUGAAGACUUUUAGUGAAGAAUUAAUCACUUCUGGUACCUAUUUCAUCACAGUCAUCAUGUAAGAACAACAACCGCAUUCGACUGCCUGUGUGCUGGGGUGAGAGUGUUCCGCCUCUCACCAACCUCCACGGCAGACUGACUCAACGAGGCUUUGACGGGAGGAACACUACGACUCACCAAACUCCAUCAUCAGACUGAGCAGACUUCUCAACCAACUUCUUAGCCCCCCCCCACCCCCACCCCCCUCCCACACUCACGCCCACUCAGUAUAACGUCACGUGCCCACUCCGGACAUCAACUGAAGCCAGGACUAUCUUGUAACCCUCUCCGUCCUGAGGUCAUCAAACAGAUUAUUACACAUCAUUGGUAAUCUCUUUUACCUUCCUAUUGAUGAAUUAAGAUACCUAACCCAACCCAACCCAACCCAACCCAACCUAACCUAACCCAACCCCCCCAAAAUAUCCUUAAGUCAUACGGGCCAACGGGCUGGAAGUAAUGUUAGAGACGAAAGAUUGUAUUUUUUUAGUGUUUUUUUUUGUCCCCCAAGUCAUGUUUCCUUUACAUAACAGAUGAGGAGGUAUUUCAAUUUCCACCUUUAUUCAAACAUCUGUACUAAAACUCACUCGUCCUGAAAAAUUAUGGCGGUGGAUGAGAGACACUGAAACGCCACUGGCCAAUCUGGGGGUGAAAGAGACCACUGGAUUGAACAUGUGACGUGGUUAUGUAAGAUGAUAUAAUACUGACGUGGUUGUAAGGUGAUAUAAUACUGACGUGGUUAUGUAAGGUGAUAUAAUACUGACGUGGUUAUGGAAGAUGAUAUAAUACUGACGUGGUUAUGUAAGAUGAUAUAAUACUGACGUGGUUAUGUAAGGUGAUAUAAUACUGACGUGAUUAUGUAAGGUGAUAUAAUACUGACGUGGUUAUGUAAGGUGAUAUAAUACUGACGUGGUUAUGUAAGGUGAUAUAAUACUGACGUGGUUAUGUAAGGUGAUAUAAUACUGACGUGGUUAUGUAAGGUGAUUUUAAACUACAUAAAAAAUUCGUAAUAUAUAUACCUGGUAAUGUACAGAAUUUGGAGGUAGUUGAGGUAAUUUUGUUAUUGUAGUGAUAAUUAAUCCACCUUUUGGAGAGGAGCGUCACCGUCUCCUCCUGUCUCCGUCCUCCGUCACCGUCUCCUCCUGCGUCACCGUCUCCGUCCUCCACCUCUACAGCAUCAUGAUAUAUAUUACACAUUACCAUGAUGACUACUUUAGUGUUGCUCUGGGGGGGAGAUGAAUGAUGCUGUCAUCUACAUUUCAUGCAAGUAUUAUGAUUUUUGUUUCCCGUUCUGACUAUGCAACCUAGAUUUGAUUCGGUUAUAUAUGUAUAUUACAAAAGAACAAACGAGGAACUGAAGUGUGAGAGGAUAAAUGAAAGAGAGAGAGAGAGAGAGAGAGAGAGAGAGAGAAUGAAUGAAUAAAAACACAUACGAAAAUAUGUUAAUUUCUGCUCGACACAUCAAAAUUAUAGUAUUUUACAGACGCUUACUCCCAAAAAAAUAUUUGAAACAACAAUGAAAAUAAACGGAAAAAAAAUAAUCCCGAAUUAAUCUGUGAAAGUUGAAGUCUUAACGCCAAUAAGACCAUUUUUUUCGAACAGGUACAAUAAGGCGAGUCAUUAUGUUACUGGGAUGUGAUCGAGCAAGUCCAUAUCUCUCUCUUACAAAUCACAUAAACACUGAUACAAUAACUUCUACUCGUUACUACACGCACUACAUUAACAUUUCCUCCGCAACACUAACUACUGCUUAUAAAAUCAACAUACCAGCAUCAUAUGGAGCUAUUCUGAGCCUUGAGUCCGCUGGGUCAAUACUGCUGGUGGUGUUGUCUUGAGGAGGUGAUGGUACGUGUUGGUCUCCCUCAGUGUAACAUAUUAGUCCUCACACCUGGGACGUGAUGCGUGGUCACGUCUCUGUCUGGGGAUAAAGACAUCUUGUGUGUGCAUAGUGAGUAGAUCCUGUGUGUGUUUGGUUAUGGUGGUGGGGGAGACGUGUGUGUGUGUGUG
RNAcentral lists this long non-coding RNA (2428 nucleotides) under Homarus americanus (American lobster). Its description in RNAcentral is "uncharacterized LOC121872137". Lineage: Eukaryota; Metazoa; Arthropoda; Malacostraca; Decapoda; Nephropidae. The record is from RNAcentral.